GACGAACGCUGGCGGCGUGCUUAACACAUGCAAGUCGAACGGAAAGGCCCUGCUUUUGUGGGGUGCUCGAGUGGCGAACGGGUGAGUAACACGUGAGUAACCUGCCCUUGACUUUGGGAUAACUUGAGGAAACUGGGGCUACUACCGGAUAGGAGCUCCUGCUGCAUGGUGGGGGUUGGAAAGUUUCGGCGGUUGGGGAUGGACUCGCGGCUUAUCAGCUUGUUGGUGGGGUAGUGGCUUACCAAGGCUUUGACGGGUAGCCGGCCUGAGAGGGUGACCGGCCACAUUGGGACUGAGAUACGGCCCAGACUCCUACGGGAGGCAGCAGUGGGGAAUAUUGCACAAUGGGCGGAAGCCUGAUGCAGCAACGCCGCGUGCGGGAUGACGGCCUUCGGGUUGUAAACCGCUUUCGCCUGUGACGAAGCGUGAGUGACGGUAAUGGGUAAAGAAGCACCGGCUAACUACGUG
Molecule: ribosomal RNA, 468 nt
Filed under: uncultured bacterium
Lineage: Bacteria
Description: partial 16S ribosomal RNA
Rfam family: Bacterial small subunit ribosomal RNA
Source: RNAcentral